GACGAACGCUGGCGGCGUGCUUAACACAUGCAAGUCGUACGGUAAGGCCCUUUCGGGGGUCCACGAGUGGCGAACGGGUGAGUAACACGUGAGUAACCUGCCCACAACUUUGGGAUAACGCUAGGAAACUGGUGCUAAUACUGGAUAUGUGCUCCUGCUGCAUGGUGGGGGUUGGAAAGCUCCGGCGGUUGUGGAUGGACUCGCGGCCUAUCAGCUUGUUGGUGGGGUAGUGGCCUACCAAGGCGGCGACGGGUAGCCGGCCUGAGAGGGUGACCGGCCACAUUGGGACUGAGAUACGGCCCAGACUCCUACGGGAGGCAGCAGUGGGGAAUAUUGCACAAUGGGCGCAAGCCUGAUGCAGCAACGCCGCGUGCGGGAUGACGGCCUUCGGGUUGUAAACCGCUUUCAGCAGGGACGAAGCUUUUUGUGACGGUACCUGCAGAAGAAGCACCGGCUAACUACG
RNAcentral lists this ribosomal RNA (463 nucleotides) under uncultured bacterium. Its description in RNAcentral is "partial 16S ribosomal RNA". It matches the Rfam family "Bacterial small subunit ribosomal RNA", at positions 28 to 505 of the family's 1533-position model. The record is from RNAcentral.